UAUCUCUGUAGAGUCUGCAUAUCAAUAAGCGGAGGAAAAGAAACUAACUAAGGAUUCCCUUAGUAACGGCGAGUGAAGCGGGAAGAGCUCAAAUUUGAAAUCUUCAAGGUUUUACCUUGACGAAUUGUAGUUUAAAGAAGUGUUUUCUGUUGAAGUUUCGGUAAAAGUUCUUCGGAAUAGGACAUCAUAGAGGGUGAGAAUCCCGUAUUUGACCGUUAUUUUCAGCUGUGUGAUACACUUUCAAAGAGUCGGAUUGUUUGGGAAUGCAGUCCAAAAUGGGUGGUAAAUUUCAUCUAAAGCUAAAUAUUGGCGAGAGACCGAUAGCGAACAAGUACCGUGAGGGAAAGAUGAAAAGAACUUUGAAAAGAGAGUUAAACAGUACGUGAAAUUGUCAAAAGGGAAGCGUUUGACACCAGUGUUGUUUUUCUGAAAAUCAAUUAAAGAACUGUUUAUGCUAAGCUGUUUAGACUUUAUCAGCUAUCUGUUUAGUUUUGAGCUUUUCUUUAAUGCACUUUUCAGUUAACAAGUCAACAUCAAUUUCUUUUGCUGUAAAAAAGCUUGAGGAAGGUGGCUUGAGAUUCGUCUUAAGUGUUUAUAGCCUCUUGCCUAUGCAGUCGGAGAGAUUGAGGUCUGCAGCGUAGAUCCUUCGGGGCUAAAUGCAUUUGUGCUAAGUUAUAGCAUUUUAUAGACAACUUGUUGACUAUGAUUUGUCUUGUAGCUUACUCGCUUAUGUUAUUUUACCUACGCUUAGGAUGUUGAUAUGCAUGACUGAUAU
Molecule: ribosomal RNA, 775 nt
Filed under: uncultured Neocallimastigales
Lineage: Eukaryota; Fungi; Neocallimastigomycota; Neocallimastigomycetes; Neocallimastigales
Description: partial large subunit ribosomal RNA
Rfam family: Eukaryotic large subunit ribosomal RNA
Source: RNAcentral